AUCAUCUGGGGAUUUUGUUGAAUGCUGAUUCUGAUUCCUAGGUCUCGAGUGGAGCCCAAGAUUCUGCAUUUCUAACAAGCUAUCAGGUGGUGUCCCU
This 97-nucleotide microRNA precursor is filed under the name Mustela putorius furo (domestic ferret). RNAcentral describes it as "predicted gene, 54370 (ENSMPUG00000023130.1)". Lineage: Eukaryota; Metazoa; Chordata; Mammalia; Carnivora; Mustelidae. The record is from RNAcentral.